AUGAAUAUGUAUUUCGAAGGCUAUGGUUACCGUGGAAGUACUUUUGAGCAGACCUAUCGCUGCUACCCUGCAUCUUUUAUUGACAAGCCACAGCUUGAAUCUGGUGACAAAAUUAUCAUGCCACCUUCGGCACUUGAUCGUCUUGCGUCUCUGCAUAUUGAGUACCCUAUGCUAUUUGAAGUACGCAACACAGCAGCAGAACGCACUUCACACUGUGGUGUCCUAGAGUUCAUUGCAGAAGAAGGCAUGAUCUACAUGCCAUACUGGAUGAUGCAAAAUCUUCUUUUGCAAGAAGGAGAUAUGGUGUUUAUAAAAAAUGCCAACCUCCCAAAGGGCACAUAUGUGAAGCUGCAGCCUCAUACAACUGACUUCUUGGACAUUUCAAAUCCCAAAGCAAUCUUGGAAAAGACUUUGCGGAACUACUCUUGUCUAACCACUGGUGACAGCAUUAUGGUGGCAUAUAAUAACAAGAAGUACUACAUUGAUAUAGUUGAAACAAAGCCUGCCAGUGCUAUAAGUAUAAUUGAGACUGAUUGUGAGGUUGACUUUGCCCCACCACUUGACUAUAAAGAACCUGAGCGACCAAAACCUACUGCUCCUCCCAGCGCUGAUCCUGCUGCAGAGGCUCAAGUUGAGGAGGAACCAAAGUUCAGCCCCUUCACUGGUCCUGGAAGGCGCUUGGAUGGCAAGCCUGCUAAAGAUCUGGAUGCGUCAUCCUCCUCGCCUGCAAAGCGACAAGCUAAUGCAACCAACAGUGUUCAGCCCUCAGCAUCCUCCACACCACAGAUCACGGCGCCACGUAAAACCACGGGAAAGCUUGUCUUUGGCUCUGGUGGAAGCCAGUCAUCAAAAGGAACAGAAAAGGUGCCCGAGAAGGAUGCAAAGGAGGAACCGAAGAAAGAAGAGCCGAAGUUUUCAGCAUUCACGGGAAAGAAGUACUCUUUGAAGGGUUGA
RNAcentral lists this ribosomal RNA (954 nucleotides) under Triticum aestivum (bread wheat). RNAcentral's name for it is "partial small subunit ribosomal RNA". Lineage: Eukaryota; Viridiplantae; Streptophyta; Magnoliopsida; Poales; Poaceae. The record is from RNAcentral.